CGGGGGAGCAAGCGUUGUUCGGAUUUACUGGGCGUAAAGGGCGCGUAGGCGGCCAGCGCAAGUCAGUUGUGAAAUCUCCGGGCUUAACUCGGAACGGUCAACUGAUACUGCGCGGCUAGAGUGCAGAAGGGGCAACUGGAAUUCUCGGUGUAGCGGUGAAAUGCGUAGAUAUCGAGAGGAACACCUGCGGCGAAGGCGGGUUGCUGGGCUGACACUGACGCUGAUGCGCGAAAGCCAGGGGAGCGAACGGGAUUAGAUACCCCGGUAGUCCUGGCCUUAAACGAUGGAUGCUUGGUGUCUGGAGUUUUAUAGUCUCCGGGUGCCGCAGCUAACGCGUUAAGCAUCCCGCCUGGGGAGUACGGUCGCAAGACUG
Molecule: ribosomal RNA, 373 nt
Filed under: uncultured organism
Description: bacterial SSU rRNA
Rfam family: Bacterial small subunit ribosomal RNA
Source: RNAcentral